This 427-nucleotide ribosomal RNA is filed under the name uncultured Dyella sp. RNAcentral's name for it is "bacterial SSU rRNA". It matches the Rfam family "Bacterial small subunit ribosomal RNA", at positions 355 to 774 of the family's 1533-position model. The record is from RNAcentral. Lineage: Bacteria; Pseudomonadati; Pseudomonadota; Gammaproteobacteria; Lysobacterales; Rhodanobacteraceae.
UGGGGAAUAUUGGACAAUGGGCGCAAGCCUGAUCCAGCAAUGCCGCGUGUGUGAAGAAGGCCUUCGGGUUGUAAAGCACUUUUAUCAGGAACGAAACACUGUCGGCUAAUACCCGGCGGGACUGACGGUACCUGAGGAAUAAGCACCGGCUAACUUCGUGCCAGCAGCCGCGGUAAUACGAAGGGUGCAAGCGUUAAUCGGAAUUACUGGGCGUAAAGCGUGCGUAGGCGGUUUGUUAAGUCUGUUGUGAAAUCCCCGGGCUCAACCUGGGAAUGGCAAUGGAUACUGGCAAGCUAGAGUGUGAUAGAGGAUGGUGGAAUUCCCGGUGUAGCGGUGAAAUGCGUAGAGAUCGGGAGGAACAUCAGUGGCGAAGGCGGCCAUCUGGAUCAACACUGACGCUGAGGCACGAAAGCGUGGGGAGCAAACA